This 445-nucleotide ribosomal RNA is filed under the name uncultured bacterium. Its description in RNAcentral is "partial 16S ribosomal RNA". It matches the Rfam family "Bacterial small subunit ribosomal RNA", at positions 354 to 796 of the family's 1533-position model. The record is from RNAcentral.
GUGAGGAAUAUUGGUCAAUGGACGGAAGUCUGAACCAGCCAUGCCGCGUGAAGGAUGAAGGCGUUCUGCGUUGUAAACUUCUUUUAUUUAGGAAGAAACCACCGAUUUCUAUUGGUGUUGACGGUAUGAAAUGAAUAAGCACCGGCUAACUCUGUGCCAGCAGCCGCGGUAAUACGGCGGGUGCGAGCGUUCUCCGGAUUUACUGGGCUUAAAGGGUGCGCAGGCGGUCUUAUAAGUCCGGUGUGAAAUACUACAGCUCAACUGUAGAACUGCCUUGGAUACUAUAGGACUUGAAUCGAGUAUAGGUCAGCGGAAUACAACAUGUAGCGGUGAAAUGCAUAGAUAUGUUGUGGAACACCGAUUGCGAAGGCAGCUGACUGGGCUUGAAUUGACGCUCAGGCACGAAAGCGUGGGUAGCGAACAGGAUUAGAAACCCCAGUAGUCC